This is a long non-coding RNA of Lontra canadensis (Northern American river otter), 292 nucleotides long. RefSeq lists it as uncharacterized. The record is from RefSeq and is a predicted model, not a curated record. Lineage: Eukaryota; Metazoa; Chordata; Mammalia; Carnivora; Mustelidae. The transcript has 3 exons.
UUUUAUGCUGGUAUAAGGGAGACAUCUGUUUUUCAGUAGCAAAUGCCACCUGUUUCCAAUACCUUCUCUUGUCUGCACUUCCUUCCCUUAGAUGACUUGUUAGCUACAGAGAAAAAUGUGGAAGGGAUAUGGGAGUAACAUACUGCCUGCUAUCCACAUUGGGUAACAGAAGGCCCCUGCUAUGAGGACCUGGGAGGCCACGUGCUUCAGAUGGCAGAGCUACAAGAGAGAGGAGAGCUGUCGGCCAUAUUGGACAUCAUCACACUAUCCGGCCACAAGAGGUGCUUCCGUC